UCAGGGCGGGCAGGCCGAGGGAGCGGUCGAGGAAGUGCUGAAAGUCGAAGUCGCCACCGACGGAGUGCUGCCCGACGAGGUGUCCGAGGCGAUGGGCGCCGCGGUG
This 106-nucleotide non-coding RNA is filed under the name Pseudopedinella elastica. The record is from RNAcentral. Lineage: Eukaryota; Dictyochophyceae; Pedinellales.